This 475-nucleotide ribosomal RNA is filed under the name Salmonella enterica. RNAcentral describes it as "bacterial SSU rRNA". It matches the Rfam family "Bacterial small subunit ribosomal RNA", at positions 62 to 526 of the family's 1533-position model. The record is from RNAcentral. Lineage: Bacteria; Pseudomonadati; Pseudomonadota; Gammaproteobacteria; Enterobacterales; Enterobacteriaceae. RNAcentral also lists the same sequence under 1 other name.
UCGAACGGUAACAGGAAGCAGCUUGCUGCUUCGCUGACGAGUGGCGGACGGGUGAGUAAUGUCUGGGAAACUGCCUGAUGGAGGGGGAUAACUACUGGAAACGGUGGCUAAUACCGCAUAACGUCGCAAGACCAAAGAGGGGGACCUUCGGGCCUCUUGCCAUCAGAUGUGCCCAGAUGGGAUUAGCUUGUUGGUGAGGUAACGGCUCACCAAGGCGACGAUCCCUAGCUGGUCUGAGAGGAUGACCAGCCACACUGGAACUGAGACACGGUCCAGACUCCUACGGGAGGCAGCAGUGGGGAAUAUUGCACAAUGGGCGCAAGCCUGAUGCAGCCAUGCCGCGUGUAUGAAGAAGGCCUUCGGGUUGUAAAGUACUUUCAGCGGGGAGGAAGGUGUUGUGGUUAAUAACCGCAGCAAUUGACGUUACCCGCAGAAGAAGCACCGGCUAACUCCGUGCCAGCAGCCGCGCUAAUAA